This 31830-nucleotide long non-coding RNA is filed under the name Setaria viridis. RNAcentral describes it as "long non-coding RNA (SVIR_LNC006294)". Lineage: Eukaryota; Viridiplantae; Streptophyta; Magnoliopsida; Poales; Poaceae. The record is from RNAcentral.
UUUUUUUUUUUGGGUUCGAUUCUCUGUCGCGAGUGAAAUUCAGACAAUUUCAUCUGGACUUCCUAGUCAUAUAAACGAAUCCAGCUUCAGUAAAAAAAAAUGAAGAAAAAUCAAUGGUAGUAUCAGCAAGUCAUCUAAUCACAUCGUUCUGUUGGUUAUUUUAGUUAGCGCCAUCAAUAUGAAUCCUUUCUUCACUGCCACUAGCACCGACUCGAGAUCAGUAAUCAAGAAGCAGCAGCAUGGACGCUUCCACCACGGCCGCCGGCGCCUUCUGCCGGGGACCCACGCGAGGCGGGUCCUCGCACCACCACGUGCGCCACGGCCAUCACCGGCGCGGCAUGAACCUUGCCGCCACUACCUUCUGCCGGGGAACUAGGAGGGGAGGCUCCUCGCAUCACCACUCGCGCCGUCGCGGCCAACGGCGCAGCGUGGACUUUCCCGCCGCCGCCUUGCUUGGGCUCGCCGGGCCCCCCUUUCGGAGGAGGAGCGCGGCCUCUCCUCGCCGUCCGCAGCUGCUGGGCCGCCGCCGCCGCAUGCGCAUCCACUCCUCGCGGCACACUCGCCAGACUUAUGGCUGGAGGCGCAGCAGGGCGGUAGAGAGCGACGCCGAGGCUGGACGGCACGUUCCGCGGAAGCUGCCGCGGGAGCGGGCUAGUUGGCGCAGACGACGGCGACGACAUGGCUUCCGUGUGGCUUUGCUCGGUCUCGGAUCGGUCGUCGAGCUAGCUAGUAGAUGGCUCAAGCUCUCGAUCGGUGACCGAAACGAUCUCUUGGUCGUGUUCGAUCACUUGCGCUGGUCUCGCUUCGUAUCUGAUGAUGAAUUCCUUGCACCGAUGCAUCAGCCGAUGGAUGCCUCGUUGGAUGCCUGCAGGUCGUGGUCGAGCUCUGGUUUAUACUGAGAGCAUGGGGAGUAGAGCACGGAGCACGAGGGCCAGUUGUAUGAAAAGUCGUCCAAGUCAAAGCUUACGCGUUUGCUACCACUUCAAAACUACGUACUGGCUGUAGUCGUGGACUGAGUCACUGGGAUUAGCGGCUUACAAAAUGUUUUGAUCCGGUCAGCGUUGUGGCCGUACGCCCGUUGGUCUCAAGUCUGCUCUAUCGCAUUCACAUGGGUCCGGUCAGUCUGUACCCAUGCAUGCUGGUGUGGUGGUUCAAAACUAAAGAUUGAUAUAUGCUCUUACACAUGUCAAUUAAUUACAUUAUUCCUUAAAAAUACUUAUUGCAUGUUUUCGGUUGAGAAUUCCUUAUGCAAUAUUCCCAUAUAGUUCAUUUUGAAUUUUUAACAGUAUUUCUAAUAUUUUUUUCUAGAGGGAUAUGUAGAUCAAAGGUGAAGCAUUUUUUUUUCAUAUCACUAUGGAUGUCUGUAAAAAAACAUGAACGUCUAGCAAUAGAUAUGCGAAUUUACUAAGAGACUUAAAUUAAUUACAAGUGUGUUUUGACACUAUUUGCUUGGCCGGUCUGGCCAUUAGCAUUAGAUAUUUUGUAGUUGAAGGUUCAACUACCUGGCCAACAACCAACUGGCCCUCGUAUCCCUAUGAAUAGGGCAUAAACCAAAUCAAGAGCGAAAGAUACCAUUAUCUUAGUAAAGUUCCAUCCUGAUUGAUGUCGUUGUUGUAAAGUGAGCAAGAAAAAUAGACACAAGAAGAUCACUCACGUAUUACAUCCUAAUUUAACUUGCUUACAAGAGUAAAAUUUUGAGAGACAAAAUUGUUCUACAUAUGAUAUUUCCUUAACAUAUGAAUGACUAUUCCUAUAUGAUCUUUUGCUUUAGGACUAGUUGUAUUAAAAAGUGAAACCGAUGCAUUAAGUGAUUUUACUACUACACGUGUCAUGAAAAUAUAUUACAUUGUACAUUUCAACCUCUCUUUAAGCACACAAGCAUUAUUAUACUUCAUGACAAGUAAUAAAUCACUUUGAUAACUAAAAUGCCCAGUUCAAAAAUAUAUAUAACAUAUGUUUUAUGAUUGUUUGGUAUAAUUUUUGUGUAAUCCAACUAUUUAUGUAUAUGAUAAACGAAACAAUUAAAUAUUUACAUAAAAUUGAAGAUUGUAUUUGGGGAUGUUAUAGUUAGCUAGCAUUAACAAUAAUUCUGAAAUCCAUAUCAUGAACAUGAACAUGAUGAUGAAACCAAUAAUUACUCCCUUCAUAUAUUUCUCCCAAGGAUUCUUUUUUUUUGUUCUGAACAAAUUAAACUAGCUGUUGAGGUACAAAAAGACAUAAGUCUAUACAUAUAUCAUCCACAGAACAAAUACAAAAGUAAAGUUCUUCGGUCAAUUUUCUGAAAAUAUAUUCGUGCAACUUAAUUUUCCAGAAAACGAAACUCCAGAAAACACUUUCUAGAAAAUUUUUUGAUUUUUUUUUCUCAUGGCAAUUUUAACUCCCUUGGAGUAUAUAUCUUUGUUGGGAAAAGCUAGCUUUCAUUUUCUUGAAAAAGGUGCGGUGCUUUUGAUAUGCCCUGCAUGACAAAGAUUUGCAUUAGGUUUUUGAAAGAAAAAAAGAACACACACCUUGCGUUGGUAGAUCAGAUCGAUUCGAAAGAACUAGAAUAAAGCCUAGCAAGAUCUUGAUAGAUCAUGAUCUAUCAGUUGUACUUACACACCAUGAAGGAGAUGUAGUAGCCCUGCUAGUCCAAAUGAUCGAUCCAUGGACGUACGGGGCAGGAGCUGACAGGCGCACUACACGAACAUGACACUCUUGUAUGUCAACUAGUACCUAUUGGAUGCACCCACACAAAGGUGAUACAAUUUCUCUGACGGUAAUAGAUAACACACUGCAAAACAAUGUGUAACACAUAUUCAUAUAAAAUAAGCAAAUCUCCUCUGCAUAUACUCAUAUAAAAUAAGCAAAUCUCUUCCAAAUAUUAACCAUCAAGCCGUAACCAAAUGAUAAUAAGAAUUAGUAAUGUAGGAACCUAGAAAUAUAGAAAUCUACAUUUCAUUUUGAUGGAAUUAAAAAACAACUAUUCAUUGUUUUGCAAAAAAAGAAUGGGUGAAAGAAAUAUAGAAUAAGAAAAAAUGUUGGAAAAAAUCUAAAUUGACGCAAACGUCACAGUGACGGUGUAAUACAAACCUGGCUUGGAUUUGGAUGAAGCACGUGAAUGGAUAAGAUCAUCGGAUAAUGCACAAAAUUGUAAAUCAACAGAUAAAUAUCUUUGUCACCAUUCGCUUUGUUGUUAAGGAGGUGUAAAUUAAAAUUACAUUUUCUCCCCUGAGACACAUAAUAACUAACUAUUUGGCCUUAAUUAUCCCCAUCUAGCAGACUAGCACCACAUCCUGCUUAUGCAAGGUUUUUCCUCUAUUGUAAAAGUAAAUAGCUACAUGUCUGAAGUCUUACAGGACAACACUACAUCACUGGCACACUAGUAGUAAUGAGCUCUUGCUUAUUUGUGUAUAUAUAGAUAUUAGAGAGAGAAACAUAUGAAGUUUGUCUACUUGUGUAUUGAGAGUGCGUUAAUUCAUGUGCUAGUCUAUGUAAAUGACAUGCUAGGAUAAAAAAAUUAGAGAUAUAAACUAUGCCCACUAUCUCAUGGAAUUGUCAAGUAUAGUGCAUGGACUUAAUAUUGGGUCUUAUACUACAAGAACUAUUACGUAUGCAUGGACUGAGUAUCACACAAGUGUUAUACUAUGUCAACUAUUAUGUAAAUGUGUGUUUGCAUUGGUGGCAAAUUGGAGACCCUAUAGUUUCCACCGAUCCUCUCUAGUUCAACAAAAGUACCUUAUUUUGUAGUAGUGAAGAAUCUAUAGUUUGGAAUGAAAAUUCCCCAAUUUUAACAUACUAGAAACAUAUUUGUGCUCAAGGCUUCAAGCAAUGACUUCAACAUUGCAUGCUACAGAACCCAAGAGGUCUGAUACUGCAGUCUACGAACAACCCUUUCUUAGGUUGCAUCCGUACUCAUGCAUUGUGGUACAAAAUAUGAUGAAGUACAAGAGUGUUGUGUUAAUGAUGAAACACAAGUUCAGCCAGCACAAGACAAGAUUGUAGCACAUACAUAAUGUUUGAGUUUCUACACAAAAAUCAAGCAUGUUGAAGGCUGAAUGAUUUUUUUUACUUUAAUGAUAUUCCAUAUGCAAGUUAUAAAUCUAUUAUCCGAAUUUGGGUAAUAACAGGUAUAGUACCGACUUGCAUAGGGCGGACGAAGUUAAAAUUUAGUGUUAAUCGAUGUGACUGACGAAAACUAAGCUUUUGCUUAAUAGGUGGAUGAAAACAUUGUUUCCAUCUGUUGGUCGAGCAUGUUUUCGUCCAAUGUGGGGAUAAAAAUUGAAGGCUCCCCCCCUCCGCCCCCAAUGGACAAGCACUGCAUCUUUAUCCGUCCAUCGGAUGAACACUCAAUUUUCGUAUGUUUAGUGAACAAAGAGUCAAUUUUCAUAUGUCCUUUGGAUGAAAGCUCAAUUGUCGUUCAUCAAGCAAACGGCCAUCCUAUAAUCUUGUAAUUACUCUAUUCGAGGAAUAACUCCUGUAAAUAAUGUAUGGAACAGUAUUAAUGUAAAAAAAACUCAUGACUAAAAAGAUACACAUAGGUAGCAGCACCUAUAUUAUUAUUUACUGUACUUUUUUUUUAUUUCCAUUCUCUAUUCGAAUACCUCUGAAUUUCAUGUCAUGCAUACAUGUAACUACGGCCUGUGCACGUAUCCUUGGAAUCUUAUUGCAAUCUAAUUCAGCUUUUAUACAAAAGAAAAGAAACAAUAGAGGUAUUAGGCUAGUAGCUACUAAUCUGUCCGUUAAAAUUGUGGUUGCUUCGCUUGUCUUUAAUGGAUGCUUCCACCUUGACCGCCGCGUCCUUCCUUCGGCAAACGGCCGGGCGGCGCCGGGGCUCGUGGCACUCUCUUCGCCGCCAACGUCGGCGCGGGAUGAAUCUUCCCGCCACCGCCGCCGCCUCCUUCCUUGGGCGGCCGCUUGGGAGGCUGAGGACCACGGCCUGCCCUCGCCGCCCGCAGCUCGGUCGCAGCCGCGUCGUCCACUACCUGACGCAGCAGCAAACCGCUCGCGGCAGCGAUGCCGUCGUCGCCGCGCCCUGCCGCUGCCUCGUCGUGGUACGAAGCCGCCGCGACGGGUCUCAGACCUCUCGUUGCCGGCUGCUGAAGGCGGACGGAAGGCGGAGAAGGCCGGUGGAGCGCGCGAAGACCAAGGCGGGAGGACGACGUCCCAUACCGCAGGAGCUGGAGCGGGAGGGAGAGCGAAGGGGACGAAGACGACGCCAUGGCUUGCAGAGGCCCGAGCUCUCGGUGGUCUGUCGAUGGAUGGGUAGAUGGAUGCAGGAAGCUGCCGAUGGCGCGCCUAUUUGUAAUGGAUGGAUGGGAGCAGAGGACGAUGCAGCGGGAGAGGGACAGCCGGACAGGUGGCGUUUGACUUUCCAGUUUUAAUGGCUAGUACACACGUGUGUUCAGACACGGAGAACUCGAUGGGAACAGGACGUACGAGGCCAAUUCAAGAUUUUGUCUUUUCUUUUCUUUUCCUUUCCGAACGGGUCAAUUCAAGAUUCAGGUUGACUUUGAUCUGGUCACUGGUGUGCCGGUCUCCUCCGUCUGCCGUACCGUGAGAGUAAGGAAAAUAGCUGUCGUUUAACUAGCACGAGACCGAAGCAGACAGGAAUACAAGACAUGCAUGAGCUAGUUUUCACAGAUCAAACCAAAGCUUGGUACAGAAUUAUGAACGGAAACAAAUCCUCUGCAGUGGUUACACCUACAGUUGAAUCACUCACACGUGAGUUCGGACCCAGUGCCUCAGCUACAAGAGCAGUACUACAGAAAAGCCUCGUCGUCGAGCAUACCAUUUCAACAUCUGAACGCCAGAUACGGUCAUGCCAGCGCACGACACCAUGGAAUCUGAUUCUAAUCUGGUCCAGUGGUUUUCACACACGAGUCUCCAUUCUAUCGUUUGCUUAAUCCCCCUUGACAUUAUCAUAUAUUACUAGGAACAUGUUGGAAAAAUGGCCCACGGAGAGACCCAUUUAAUAAAUUCUGAAGCAAGAGUGCAGUGGCAUUCAAUAGUCUCGUACUGCUAGUUUGAGUUGGUGGAAACCAACUUAAUUAGGAGAGCUCUCUUACUUCUCUGAAUACGUAAUUAAAAGAGAGAAUGGGGCUUGGGUUACACAAUGCACGCGUGCGCGUAUUCGCGUUCUUUUCGCAUAACUUGCGUGACUUGUGACUUGCGACACAAUGAGUAGUCCAGCCAAGUUGGUGUAAUUAACCUUUUGCCAUUUGCGUGUAAUCUUUUGACAACGGUCAUUAUGGGUGAUCUCACCGGCUCUUCUCCUUGGCGUGCACCAGAGGAGGGUGAGCGGUAUCUCCGAGCUGUUGCCGUCGGGAAACAUGCAUGAGGGGCGUCAAUAAGGUUUCCGGGCAGCGCAACUGCGCAACCGCUCGAAUCGAUCCACUACGUUCUGCGCUGCCUCAUCGACGAUCUGCAUUGCACCGAGUAAUCCUGCAUUCGAGUCUACACAAGGACGGAGCACUGAUUUGUAAGUCCAUAGAUUGGAUCUAUUACAGUUAUGGGUUACAUCAUGUGCAGGAAGGUUUCAUGCCUACUAGUCAUGGGUGACAUGAUAUUAUAUAUGGUUAUGUCUGCUUUGCUUAUGCUGCUUUUACACACCGUUUACAUGAGUAUGUUGCGGGUUACGUCUAUCUAUUUAAAACUUACACACCGUUUACAUGAGUAUGUUGCGGGUUACGUCUAUCUAUUUAAAAUUAGAAUUGGGUUACAUAGCAGUAGCACUAGGUUACACUACGGGAAACUUUAAAUUUGCCGAGUGUUUUCUUUUUGCCGAGUGCCAAGCCAAAAACACUCGGCAAACAAGCUCUUCGCCGAGUGCCAAGCCAAAAACACUCGGCAAAAAAAAACACUCGGCAAAUCGUGGCUUUGCCGAGUGUCAAAUAAAAAACACUCGGCAAAGCCCCCUCUUUCCCGAGUGUCAAAAAAAACACUCGGCAAAGAGGGGGUUUGCCGAGUGUCAAAAAAAACACUCGGCAAAGAGGGGGGUUUGCCUAGUGUUUUUUUUGACACUCGGCAAAAAAAUAAUUUUUUUUUCUCUUUUCACCAUGAAAUUUUUUCUACUCCCCACAUACAACAUGUGGUACUCCAUGUUAAAAUUUGGUAUAUUUUUGAAUUUAUUUGCUAUAUUUAAUUAAUUAAUUGCAUUUCAAGGGAAUUUUUGGUAUAAGUCAAAUUUGAACUGCAAGUGAUUCAAAUUAUGGAAUAAAAUGAGUAGAAAAAUGAUAUUCAUGUUAUUUGGAUCAAUUUGAGACCUGACCCAUGAAAUGAAAAGAAAUUUCGAACAUCUUGUUCAGGAAACACGAUCAUGAACGUGUCGCAGUAGUAUUUUUAAAUUGUAAAAAAACAAUCAAAGUCUGAAAAUCUUAAGAUUUGUCAUGAUGUGAUGAUAUAAUACGUGGAGGCUGUGGAAAAAAAUUGAGAAGGUUUUGCACAUUUCAUCAUGUACGAUGAUUACAAACCGAAGCAUCUCAGAAAAAGAAUAGUAACUUUAAGAAGGAUUCGAUAAAAUUUAGAGUCGAAGUGACGGUCGAGUUCGGUUUGACUACAAAACUUUUUGUAUAGUCAGUAGAAAACCUAUAUUGGUUCGUGUGAAAAUUUGGUAUUUUUUGAAACUGUUGGAUAUUUUUUAAAUUUUUUUCAAAAAACGUUUGCCGAGUGUCCUACGUUGGACACUCGGCAAAGAAACUCUUUACCGAGUGUCCACGUAGGACACUCGGCAAACCAGCCGCCCGGCCCCUCAAUAAGUGCCUCCCGGCCCCCUGGCCUCUCACUCCCCUCACUCCCGGCCGGCCCCCCUCUCACUCCCCUCACUCCCUCUCCUCUCUCCCUCCUCUCUCCCUCCCGCCGCCGCCCGAAGGCCCCCGCCGCCGCCCGGCGGCCCCGGCCCCGCCGCCCGCCGCCCGCCGCCCCGCGCUCCCGGAUCGCCGCCGCCGCCCGCCGGAUCCGCUGCCGCCCGCCGCCCCGGCCCCCGGAUCCGCCGCCGCUGCCCCGGCCCCCGGAUCCGCCCGCCGCCCCGGCCCCCGGAUCUGCCGCCGCCGGCCCCCGGAUCCGCCCGCCGCCCCGGCCCCCGGAUCCGCCGCCCGCCCGUCCCCUCCACCGGAUCCGCCGGUGCCGGGGCCUGAAGAGAAGAGGAGAGGAUGGUGGCGGCGGCGGCAGCGGAGCAGUGGCGGUGCGUGAUUUUUCUUUUAUUUUUUCAAUAAUUAUUCGCCGAGUGUUUUCUGGGCACUCGGCAAAGUCUUUGCCGAGUGCCCGACACAAAACACUCGGCGAACUAGUGUUUGCCGACUCGAUAUUUGUCGUGUGCCGUUUGCCGAGUGUUACACUCGGCAAACGGUUCGCCGAGGGUAUUCUACCCUUCGCCGAGUGCCCCUGGCACUCGGCAAUUUGCCUGUGUCCCGUAGUGUUACGUAAUUUGCCUCAUGUUUAUAUUCGGUAGAUUCAAACGCACAUGUUCAACACAAGAUUCAUGGAGUGAUGAUGGAAGCAUAACACGGUGGUCCCCACCAUCGCAGCCAUGGCACUGUGCUGGCGGAUCACCAGGAGACUUCGCCCCCCGCGCGGCGCUAUGAUUCCGGCUGCCGCCUCCCAUCGGCUGCCGGGGCGGCGCACCACGAGGAGCGCCGCCGCCUCUCCUUGCAGCCCGCAGCUGCUCGGCCGCCGAAGCCACGCCGCCGGCCGCCUCCUGGGGCACAACCGCGCGCGCGCCACCACUGGAUGGGAGCAGAGCGUAGCAUGCAGCACGCGGGGAGGGAAUCUUGCUAGCUGGAAGAUACUCCUUGUAUGUUCAGACACAUGGAGAAUCUUUUGAUCAGGUCACUUUGAGGGUGUUUGGAUCUUUAGUUCUAACUAAAAUAUAUGGCACAUCGAAUAUUCGAAGAUUAAUUAGGAGAACUAAAUAUGAUUUAAUUAUAAAACUAACUAUACAGAUGGAGGCUAAUUCACAAUACGAAUCUAUUAAGCCUAAUUAAUCCAUCAUUAGCACAUAUUUACUGUAGCAUCACAUUGUCAAAUCAUGGACUAAUUAGGUUUAAUAGAUUCAUCUCACAAAUUAGUCUCCAUCUGUAAAAUUGGUUUUGUAAUUAGCCUAUAUUUAAUACUCCUAAUUAGUAUCUAAACAUUCGAUGUGAUAGGAAUUUUAGGAGGUGCUAAAGAAACAAACACCCCUCGUGCAUGUCCUACUCGUACUUGGUUUUGUAUGUGUGUUGAUUCAGGGGGUGUUCGGAUCCCCAGGCUAAAUUUUAGCCCCUAUCACAUCGAAUGUUUGGACAUUAAUUAGGCCUAUUAAACAUAGGCUAAUUACAAAACCAAUUUCACAACCCCUAGGCUAAAUCACGAGACAAAUCUAUUAAGCCUAAUUAGUCCAUGAUUUGACAAUAUGGUGCUACAGUAAACAUUCGCUAAUGAUGGAUUAAUUAGGCUUAAUAGAUUCGUCUCGCGAUUUAGCCUAGACGUUAUGCAGUUAGUUUUGUAAUUAGUUCAUGCUUAAUCCUUCUAAUUAGCAUCUGAAUAUUUGAUGUGAUAUGAACUAAACUUUAACUCCACCCAAACACCCCGUCGUCCGUGCACUGCUUCGAGCUUCGUACAUUGCAUGUCCUACUCGUACGUCUGCAUUGCCAACGUACUGCCCUAAUUAAGCAAUGCAGAGGCGACGUUGAAAAGUACUACCAUCACCAUUGAAAAGAGGCGAUGUGGUAGUCUAUGUGAAAUAAAUUUGAAUAUUCUUUGCAAACAUGAGAAAGUUGAAGCUCAUCACUUACACAAUAUCAUUUAAAAAGCAUGAGCGACAAUAUGCAUUUAAAAAUCAUACUUGACUUGUUUUCAGUCACAUACAAAAUAUCAAGUCAUCUAAUCAAAUCAAACAUGUUCCAAAUUAAGGCUGAAGAGUUCGUCAGGAAGAAUAGUCUUUAUUACUGCAUUGGAAGCAUGGACAACAUAUAAAUCCCUUUUUCUAGCAGGUUGGCUUUGGCCACUUCGAGAAAAUAAUUCAACCCAUCAACGAACUCCUCCGCCCGUCUGUCCGUGUUGUACAUCCAUUGCCAGUCCAUCUACAUCAUAUUACCGGAAAAAUGGACAUAGCGCUUCGUAUUAGAUAAAGAACUUGAUCAAUAUUAUGUAGGGAAAAAAUAGAGUAAAUGUGUUUAUAAUAUUUAAUCCUUGCACUAAACAUGAAAGAAAUAUAAUUACUGAUAAUUUCCACCAAUCAACCUUCAUAAUAUAAAAACAAUUCACAUGGAACUUACACCAGUCAACCUUCGUAUCAUUCACUAGGUCGACAAAAACAAAAAUGCUAGAAUUCUUGACAAGACAAUAAAAAUAUAUACACACUAAAGAUUACAGAUGCUCCAUAAUGAACUUCACGGAACCAAGAAUCCUAAACCAAUGGUAGAAUGGAGCAAAAUGUUCGUCCUCCAAGCUAUCUCUACACAUAACUCAAUCUUUUCCGAAGUCUAUGGAGAGUCACCUCCGCUCCUCCAGUACUAGAAAAUAAUGGUAGAAAAGAAGAUCUUCGAGUCUACAUACUUUGGCUGAAUAUCAUAAAGGAAUUUUGAAAUAAUUGUCCAAAUGUUUUUUUGGAGCAAGUGCCACAUUUUCAUAAUAGAAGUAUGGUGGCACACAAUAGCCUGUCUAGGUAAAAGAUCUGUUCACUGAGCAUGGCCUAUUUUGGCAAGCCAAAACCAACCAAAAGCCGAUGGGUCAAGGUUAGAGAACAAAUCUCUGCCUGAACAGGCUAUUGUGCCACCAUACUUAUAUUAUGAGAAUAUAGCUUCAAAAGCCAUUUGGAAAACUAUUUCAAAAUUCUUUUAUUGUAUUCAGCCAGAGUUUGUGGACUCGAAGUUCUUCUGCUCUAAUUAUUUUUGAAUUAUUGACUUCUUGAAGUCCAAUAUGGAGCGUAUGUAGUCUUUAGUGUAUCUUUAUUUUCCUAUUCCACAAUUCUAGCAUUAAGUUGACUGGCGUGUGGGUUCAUGUCACUCUAAUUUAACAUGCAAACUAUUUAUUUACCUACUUUUAUUGUAAGGACUAAAUAUUAAAAACACAUUUACUAUAUUUUUUCCCAUACCUAAUAUUGAUCAAGUUCUCUAUCUAAUAUGAAUCAUAUAUAACAAGCAAGCUAUCUAUCCAUCAAAUUCUAGCUCAAAAAUAUAUAUAAAUAAAAAAUCCUCUCCAUUCUCCCUCAUUCUAAAAAACUCAUUUUUCUCCAUCUCUAAAGCAUAAAACAAAGUAUAAUAACAAUAAAUGAAGGGAGGAUAAAAUAUCUAACAUUUACAACACUUUGGAUGAGUGAAAUCCCUAUGAAAAUAAGGGAAAAAAAUCGGGCAGUACCUCCCUAAGCUUGCUUGCUCGCCAUGGAGAAAGAGCCCGAGCUCUCGGUCCGAUGAGUGGCUCGGGCUCAGGGAGGAAGAAGGGGAUUUUUAUAGGGUGCGCGUUUAGUUCCGGUUGAAAAAACCAACCGGAUGACUAAAGACCUCUCAUUUAGUCCCGUUGGUGUUACCAACCGGGAUUAAUCAUUUAGUCCUAGUUGGUUUUUCCAACCGGGACUAAAUGCCCCACCGGAUUCCCUUGUCCAUCCUAGCCGUUACAAACAGGACUAAAGGGGGAGCUUUAGUCCCAAUUCAUAUUAGUAACCGGGACUAAAGCUCCCAUCGGAUGUAGCUGUCGGUGGUGGUUGUUUGACUUGGGACUAAAGGUACUUUAGUAGUUCCAGGUUCAAAAACAACUGAGAUAUUUGUUUCUGGAUGGAGAGUCGUUUCUCUACCGGUGUUAGCUGUGCUUCCCACUCCCGCCACAGUUGCCUUCCUUCGGCUUCCUCUUGGCAGGGUCCCCCUUUAGAGUAGGAGCACCUCUUCGCGCCGCCCGCAGCUCCGCCGCCGCAACCACUCCCGCAGCACAGUGGUCGCACAGCAGCGGCGCCGUUGUGGACGUGGUGAGACCUCCUGCUUCUUCAUGCGGCGAGCGGUCGCGGCGGCUUUCGGCUGCCGGCGAGCAGAAGGCGACGGGUGGUAGAGCGCACCCACGAUGCGGGAGGACGCGGCGUAUCGCCGGAGUUGGAGCGGGAGGCACCUAAGUGUAGACGCCGCCGUCAUGGCUACCAUGGCGUGCUUGUGCUUGCCGACUUUUUUAUUUUUUAGCCCUUUUUGCGAAAGAUUCUCACAAAUAGGCUCCUGGCGGAACCAAUUCCAAAAAUAGACCCUUAGCUUGGAACUUAGGUCUCCAGGAUAAUAAGCCCACCUCCUAACCAGUUGAACCACAGCUUAGUUUGUUGCACACUCCUUGGAAUAAUUAUACUUGUUUAGUUCGAAACACGAAGAGGUACGGGGUAGAUAGCUCGGCGCCAAAAUCCACGGCGCCAAGGCUUGGCGCCAUGAUGGAUGGUGCCAAGCCCCCGCCACAUCGGCACCCGCGUCAGCAGCUGCGCAUGGACCUUGGCGCCAGGAUGGCUGGCGCCGAGACGUUGUAGCUUGGCGCCAGCGUGGAUGGCGCUAAGCUAAGGGUCCAUUUUUGAAAUUGGUUACACCAUGGAUCUAUUUGUGAGAAUCUUUCGCAAAAAGGUUAAAAAACAAAAAAGUCAGCUUGUGCUUGGAUGAUGGAUUAUUGCUUGUGCUGCUAGCUGAUGCCUGGGAUCGGAUGGAUCGAUGCAAAUGAGCUGCCGAUGUCUCGCUUAUUUACAGCCAUCGUUACGAGCUGCGGUCGCGUCACGAUCUCGAGAGGAUCGGAACAGGUCGCGCUUGACUUCGAAUACUGACACACGAGCGUUCAGACACUGAGGAAAAUGGUAGUGCUAAGUCAAGUCAAGCCUGUGUGCGUGUCUCAGCUCACACAGUUCUCAAAACGACGAAAUCACAGGCUGGAUUUUGAUCGGGUCACCGACGGGAAUUGAGAUUCGCUCCUGACAGUCAUGUCGAUCACAAUCGAUCACUGUAUAUCGUGUUCGUUGAGCCAGUCACUGUCAGCAUCCGAUCGAGCUCCAUAGUAUAGUAGUACUAGCUGGAAGUAUUUUUCUGCUGCUAGAUUCGUUUAAAUUUCUCACGACCAAGACACACUCGCACAAAUAGUUGUGUAGUUCAAAGUCAUGGUUCUGCCUGCCUCACCGUACCAGUUGUGCCAGUUGCCUACCAGGUAAUAUUUUGAUUGGGUCCCGGUGAGAGCCGUCAGUGUUUCUAUUUCUACACACUGCAGCAUGAUGCGAUGCCUAGAGAACGAUUCCUGGGAUCGAUUCAUGCAGUGUGCUAGCUCUCAUAGAGAUGUCAGACUUAUUAGGUCACCAGCAGAACAAAUUCACCGUUUUUAGACUGCUUGGUCAUACGGAAAAAAUAUAUGAUUUCUUACUCUAACUUUGAUAAUAUUUCUUUUGUGUAUAACAAAAAAAUUGCAAGCUAUAGUUGGUACAUUUAAGACAUACUAGUUAUCUACUCCCUCUGUCCCAAAUUACUAUUUGUUUUAGCUUUUCUAGGCAUAUAGCUUUUGCUAUAUAUCUAGACAUACUAUAUAUCUAGAUGGAUAGCAAAGUAUACGUAUCUAGAAAAGUUAAAAUAAAUAGUAAUUUAGGACGGAGGGAGUAGUUUCUAAUAACCCUUCUCCAUCUCUGUACCUUUGUUUCUAUACACUGCACCAUUUGAAUGUGAUGCGAGGAGAAAUAUUCCUAGCGACGAUCCAUGCACAGUGGCUUUGGCGCUAGCUUUACAAAAGCAAGGUAUAUGUGGUCCACACGCAAGUGAAAUAUAUAAUAUAUUUAAGAAAUAACAUAAGAACUGAUAUAUGCACAAUUCAACAGAUGCUACAUGUCAUUAUAUAAGCUCAUCAUCUAUAAGAGCUGAUGAAGGAAGAAAAGGGUAGAAGGAAAAAAGAAAAAAAAAGAAGGAAGGAACGGAAAAGAAUAGGCUGCGUAAAAAGAAAGAACGGAACCGGAUAAUACUAGAAGAAAGAGAUGUAUGUAUUAAAAAAGAAAAGAGGUAACAGGUGUGGAUUAAUCUAUAAUAAUUUUAUUUAUUUAUUUUUGUUGCAUGUGAAAUCAUGUUAUAAAGGGAAAUACAAACUUGAGUCAAAAAGGGGAGAUCCGGGUAUAAUGGAUAAUAAGAAAGAAAGGAUGAGAAAUAAAGAAAGAGAAAAUAGAAUGGGAAGGGAAAAUAAAAAAGAAAACAAAAAAGAGAGAGAAAAGAGAAGGUAUUAUGAUCAUUUCAUAUUUUUAUCCAUUUUAACCAACUCAAAGAAGAUAUUUUAUCAAACGUUUUUCGAACCAAUAAGUCAGAGCAUUUUAGGCACAGCCACCGCCCUACCAAACGAACCCUAAGGAAACUACUAUUAAUGAACAACAGUUUAGAUCAUCAAAAGUUGCCAACGCGCAACAGCAGACGGUUAGCUCCUCAUUACUUCGUUUUCUACUUUUCUUGUACUCCUCAGCUCCAAUAGGAUUUCGUUGCAGGUGCAGCAGCCGGAACGGCAUGGAUCUUUCCACCACCGCCGCCGGUGCCUUCCGCCGGCAUUUUAUCAGACAGCGUUGGUCCUCCCGCUGUCAUGAGCGCCGCCCACGGUGCGCCAUGAACUUUUCCGCCACUGCCACCAGUGCCUUCCGCCGGCGGUUGGCCAGGCGGCGUCGGUCCUCCCACUGCCAUGAUCGCCGCAUUCGGUGCGGCAUGAACUUUCCCGCCGCCGCCACCGGUGCCUUCCGCAGGCAGCUGAUAAGGCAUCGUUGGUCCUCCCACUGCCAUGAGCACCGCCCUUGGUGUCGCAUGAACUCCACCGCCACCGCUGCCUUGCGCCGGCGGCUGGCCAGGCCGCGCUGGUCCUCCCACUGCCACGGAGACCGGAGAGCGCUGGUGUGUGCCACCCAGGCGGCCCAUGCGGGGCGACGGCACCUGCAGCAGGAGCUGGCCCGAGAGGGAAGGCGAGGUAGACGGCGACGCCAUGGCCGUGGCUGAAAAGGGCUGGCUCUCAAACCGAUAGAAGUGUCGAACUAGUUAAGCUUGAUUCACUCAAUCAAGAUUAUUGGGUGAUUUCUUGAUCUCUUUCAGUUAGUUACUGAGAUCUCAGUGAUCGGUCGAUAUCAAGCACUGGAUAUCUCGUGCUUGAUGGGUCUUUGGAGUUAUGCUGUGAGCUGAUGAUCGAGCUCUACUUAUAACCAAUCCAAGAGGAGGCUGGGGAGCACACGUACGCACGCAGUUGUAUAGGCGGAGUUUAACUUUGACCUCGCUCACAGCUGGCCGUGUUUUAGACUUUAGAGCACGUAGAAAUUGUAUCUAUUUUGGUUGCAUACUACCAGGUCAAGUCAAAGCUUCUGCACGCGUGUGUUUCGUUCAAAACUAGAGGCUAGCGUUGAACAACAGAGGGUGCAUACUUUUUUUUUCUCAGUUUGUGGCAGAUCCGAGCCCGGGCAGAGAAGGUGCUGCAAACCGGGUCUUGGCCCGCAAAACUCUAACAUUCUGAUCCGGUCAUGCCUGUACAUAUGUCAUUGCACCGUGACGAGAGUGCCUAGUGUUGAAUAAUUCCACAUGAAUUGCGAAAGCUUAAGUGACCUAAUAGUUUGAAAAUGUUGGAGCUCUCAAGGAGCUAGUCUUCGGAGUUCGGUUAGAAAUCAAUUUACUAUUUUACUAUAUAAAAUAUCAGUAUGCUACUUCCUUCAUUUCAAAUUAUGGAUCGUUUAGACUUUACUAAAUUUAUAGAUUUUACUAUGAAUUUAAACAUAUAAUAUAUCUAAGUGCAUAGUAAAAAUUUGAAUUCAGAAAAACUAAAACAACCAGUAAUAAUUUGGGACGAACUCACGAAGGGAGUACGGCAUAAGUAGCUUUGUGAACCCUUGCAGUUUGCAGCUAAUACAUGUUUAACUAAUGUCCAUACAUACUGAUGUAGCUUGAGGACUAGUAUUCAGACUCUUCGUAGACGUCCAAGCGUAAGGAAUCGGUGCUCGUAGCUUAAGAAGGGAAGGGGGUGAAUUAGGCAAAUUUAAAACCUUAACCUAUGGCUUCCACUACAAAGCAUCAAACAUAAACUAGAUCAUACUAUCUAGCUGUGCAACUAUGGUUGAUCUAGUGAAACUUCCCACCCAUAAAAAGUUUUGCAACCUAUCCUAGCAAGAACUACUCUAUGGAAGUAAAGGCACACAAGUUGCAAAUAGGAAAUACGGAAAUGUAAAGGAGUGGGUUAGGAAGGAUGCAAACUCGGCACGACGAUUUUAUCCCAUGGUAUCGGUAGGCAAAUGCCACCCCUAAUCCACGUUGGAGCUCCACCAUGCUCCCUGUCACCAAGUCUCUCCUGGUCAAGAUCUUGGGCUCGCCACAAAGACUCUCGCCAAGCCGGAUGAGAAGCUUGCUGCGAAGGCAAGGCUCACCACUCCCUCUCUUCCGAUCACCUUGACGUCGUCUCCACUACGGAGCUUCUCCACGAAGGAAGGGGUCUCCUCUUCCACACCAAACUGGAGGGUCGAAGACUUGCCGGCGAGCCACCGAGGCCCAAGGCGCCGGCACACCAAACUUACAAUGGUGGUUCACUCCUUGAACCAAUCACAAAGUAGCCGCACCUUGCACUCACUCUCUCUACGUCUAUCCUAGCACUAAUCACUCUCUAAGCAUGUGCUAAUCCUUGAAUUGUCACUUUUGCACUUUUAGUUGUGUGGAUGUGUUCUUGAUAGGUCUUGGUCUUGAAUGCACUCCUAGACACUCCAGCAACUCUAAAUGAGCGAGUGGUGGGGGUAUAAAUAGCUCAAGGACCUCAAAGAGUCAUUGCUCCAACGGCUAGUAAAAACACGGAGCAUUGGAUGAUCCGAUGGUCACUUUUGAUAGGCAUCGAGUCAUCUGGUGCCCCUUGACGCAACUAGCCGUUGGACCCCCUGCCCAAAUUCAUCCGACACAUUGUCCGAUGCUUCAACAUCCGGUGGUAAAGAGCUUCUGGCCAAAACCUCUUGGAACUUUGAAAAGAAAAUAUGCUUCGUCCGAUGGUCACAUCCACAAGGCAUCGGAACAUCCGGUGCUAUAAGUUUUUUUUUCUUUGAGAAUUGCUCCGACGCUACUAAAAUAUCCACCAUCAAAUCAUCCGGUGGUCUUGACUCAGAUAGUUGCCUGCGGGUUGUACCAAUUGCUCCGAUGGUUGCUUCGACGCUUGCUCCAGUAGACCAUCGGAACAUCCGGUAGUACUGAUUUUUCUGAGUUGAAUACCACCAUUUGCACAAAAAAAAAUACCGUGACUUGGAUGCUCUGGAAUUUGGACACUUGAAUACCAUAUAAUAAUCCUAGAUAUAUACCAUGGCUUGGUCAUUUCAAUACUACCAAUUGGAUACGGAGAAUACUGUCAUUUGGAUCACUUGAAUACCAUAAUUUUGAACCUUGCCAUGGUUUAGUUUGCAUACUUGGAACCUAGAAAAUCUAUAAGAUACAUGAUAGACAAAGUAUUAGUCCCAAUGACUAUGUUGUCACUCAAUCACCAAAAUUACGAACAAUGGCAUAAUGAGACCAUGUUCCCUGCACCAAGUCCAAUCAUGCACACGGAAAUCGACACCUAAAUUAAGUUGUCGUCAAAAGUCAUCGGGGCAACUACUCCGAGAUGUGACAGAAACCCUAUGACGUAUAUCUGUUAUAUUCAAUCAUAUAUAUGAUGGAAUAGUACGAUUUUUUAUUUUGGGAAACAAAAUGACAAAAAGCAUCUUUACUACAUACUAAGUCAACGAGUCAACUUGCAGUGAUGUAGAUACCAAUGUUUCUCCUUUUUUCGUGCUAGCGAAAUUAAAUGACAUGAUUUUUAUGUAGUAUUUUAUAAGUUAUGUUGCCAAUAUAUAGACAUUAAAAAAAGAGCCACGUUAAAUCUCUACCUAAUCGGUUGUUUCUUCCGACCGUCGUGGUUGUUUUGCAAAAAAGUUCCUCAAACUUUUUUAAUCAACCCGCGGUCCUUAGAAUAUGUCUUGAUAAUUUUGCAAAAAGGUUCCCAAACUUUACUGCAAUUAUGGAUGUGGAGCCGCCGGCGCCGGCCGGCCUUGAUGCCAAGGUUGAGGCCACCCGCACCGGGGUCGAGCCGCCCGCGCCGGCCGACCUCCCUUGGGUUGUGCCGUUUGUUGCCGUCGUGGAGCUAGAACCGGUCGGCCACCCGCGCCGCUGGUGGCCACACCAGCCGCCUCCGCCGUCGGGGCCGGGGCUGGGGUGGCCGCCAGCGUCGGACCGAGGUGGCCGCGCUGGCCGCCAGGGCUCCUCCGCGGGGGCGCGCCAGAGAGGUGGGAGAGAAGAGAGAGAGAGGAGAUAGGGCCAGGAGAGAGAGGAGAGGUGGGAGAGAAGAGAGAGAGGGAGGAGAUAAGGUUGGCUAGUUGAGAGGGAAGGGUGGAAGGAGAGUUUGGCCAACAGAAACGCUCGAUUUCAGAGUUGUGGAUCGAUGACAUGGCAAAUAUGUUUCUUCUCUAAACUUAUAACAUAUUUUUGGACUACUAAACGAUGUCGAAUGAAAAAAUUGUCAACUACAAAGUUUAAAAUCUCAUCGAGCUGUACAAUUUUGAUAUAAAGUUUGUUUCAUCCAAUCGUAUGCAAAAGUUUGUAUUAAAAAAAUACAGCCUUUAAACUUAAUCAUUCACAUCCUUAGCUUUGUUUCUAUUUACGGAGCCCAACAACGGUUGCGCCGUAAUCGUCGUCAUACAUCUUGACACCGCUCCCAUCGUAGGUCGCCUUCUACCGCGGCAAUGGGACUCCGAAUGGCGGUACGCGACUCAGAGCUGUGCUCGCCCCCGCUUCCGUUGGAAUGCACGAGUUCCACGUGUGGGUGUGUAUGUCACCCACCAGCACAUAUUUGUGCCCGCCAGUGCAAAUGGCGUAAUUAUGACGCGGGAAACGAAAAUUCGCAUCAGUGAGCCGAAGUGAAACGCACUCCCUCUCUCCUUUCUAUCUGCAUGCUCUCAGUCUCUCCUAUCCCCACAUCUCUUUCCUCUCUCUCUCUCCUAUCCCUUUCAUUCCUCCCGUUCAUGGCGGUGGAAUCGGACGCGAAGCUGCGGCUGAUUCGAGCAGCAACCGGCGCGGGUGGCUGGAGCCACAGCUAGCAGAGGUAGGGCCAGCGUGGGCUGAAGGAACAGUGGCCAUCGCGAACCAGCAGCGGCCGGUGCAGGCGCGCGGGCCAGCGGCACCAUGCGAUGGCGAGCAGCGGCCGGUGCAGGCGCGCGGGCCACGGUGACAGCGAGCAGCGGCCUGUGCGGGCAACAGCAAGCUGCGGCCGGAGGCCACGCACAUGGAGUUGUGGGCACCUGGGUGGCACGAGGGCCUGCAACGGUCAAGCAAACUGCGUCAGGCCAUGAACGCUCUCCUCUCCUCUCUCUCUCUCUCGCUCUCUCUCUCUCUCUCUCUCUCGCUUGUCUCUGUGCUCCGGCCGACCUAAGCAGCGGUGAGCAGCGCCAGCUGGUAGGGGAGCGGCUACCAUCGCGGGGGAGCGGCAAGCAUCAGCUGAGCAACGAAGGAGCAGUUGUCGGUGCGCGCGAUGGCGAGCAGUGGGCAACCGACGGAGGAGCAGUUGCCGAUGCCAGUCAAGCAGAGCUUGCCGUGCACAGCUGCUUUUUUUUGUUUUCCUAAAAAUAUCUUUGCUGGUGGGCGGCAUAAGCACCCCCUAGCAAAAAUACCAUAUGUACUGGCGGGUGGCUUAAGAGGCCCGCCAGCAUAGAACCGUCUAUGCUGGCGGAUCCGCCAGCGUAAAUAGCCAUUUUUGCUGGCUUAAGAUUGUUGAGGGGUGCGGUACCCGUAAGCACAGUUUUCGUGGCGUAGUGCUGGCAUGGUCCAGCAUGAUGUACUAACCGUGUCGUGCCUAUAGCGUGUGCCUGUGUCGAGCCGUCUGUUUGGACUUUGGACAUCUAUAGUAGUGGGGCCGUGGAUGCUUGUGCGCUCAUGGUUGUUGACCAUGGUUGCUGUAUCAGAUUGCCGGACUGCCCCCUUGGAGGAAGCCAUCUGUAGCUGGGACAUCGCCCUGUCCAUCCCUGGGGCCCGGGCCACAAUGGUAGAUGCAGACGCAAGGGGUUCUGGUCGUCUUGCCCUACUUCUUUGCACUACUAUAGAAGUGUUCGUCACAUCCGGCUCUACAACCCCCAUCACAGCCAGUUUUGAAUUCGUCGGAUAAAGGUCAGCAGUGAUGGGGUGCUCCAUCACCGUCAGAUCUAAAACCGGCUGUGAUACCAAUAAAAAAAUUAAAAAUCCCCAGCGAGGACACGACCCGCAAGCCAUGCCUCCCCGUGAGGCUGCGACCUGCAGCCAGCCAUUGCCGCUAAAACCUGCAGCCCGCCGCUGCUCCCGCCGCCAUAGUCAUGGCCCGCAGUCCGCCGCCGUCGUUGCAGCUGGCUGCUCACUGCCGCACCCGCCAUGGCCCGUAGCUCACGCUCGCGCUUGGCGCCGCAGCAUCCCGCGCCAGCGCCUGGGACCUCCAGCCGAGCUCCGGCUGUCGCGCUCAUGGAGCUCCGACUUCUGGAGGCCCGCCUUGCGCCCCACAACAGCGCUGCGCCAGGGAGGAGAGGAGGGGAGAGGAGGGAAGGGGAGGGGUGGUGCGGUGUGGUGGGGAAGGGAGAGGCUCGCCACAAGGGGAGGGGCGGCACAAUGUGGAGGGAGAGGGUCGACGUGGUGGGGGAGGGAGAGCUGGAGAGGAGAGGGAAUGAGCCGGAGAGGAUAAGGCCCGUGGGGUUGGGGAGGGGGAGUUGUAUAAUUCAACCGAGGUGUAUAAAAAUUUCAGGUUCGACAUCACCGUCGGUUUGUAUUAGGAACCGACGGUAAUGGUUGUCACCACCGGCUUGUACAUACCGGCGGUGAUAGGAUAUUAUCACUGUUGGUUUUAGUUUUCACCGCCGGUUGAUGUAAAAAUCCGGCGGUGAUGACUUAUCACUGCCAGCUCGUCGAGAACCGGCGGUGAUGGACCGAUGGUGAUAGCAUUUUCUCUAGUAUUGUUAGGUUCUAGAGGUGUACCAGUGGAGGGAGCCACGGAGAGGGGUGGGAGAGCAUGCUUAAGCACGAUGGCAUGCAUUCUGUGAGGUGGAGCACGAGGGAGAGUAGUGAAGAUAGCAAUGUUGUUGAAGUAUAUGUGAAUUUCCUACCUUUCCCAUCAGAUAAAGUUCUUGGUUAUUGAACUGGUUCGUGCAUACAUCUUCAAGUAGUAUUAGAGCCAAAGGUCUCGAGUUUGAGUCCUGAUGGGCUUAGAGCGUAUUUGGUUCGUGACUAAAACAAGCGGACAGCUUGCCGCAGCUAACAUGCGCCUGUGUUUGAUUCUGGACAAAGACGCGGCAUGUCAUAGAAAGUCUGGCACCUCUCUUGUGCUUCUCCGUUGCAUUACUCACUAAAUGUCUGGCGCAUGAAUCGUCAGGCGUGCCGAACAUGCGGUGUGGCCUGUUGUGGACCGUGUCCAAACAGAGCCUAAAUUAAUUUUGCUCUUGGGUUGAACUUGGUUGUGCAUGGAAAUCAAUUGACGGUGCCGUAACUGCCAUGGCCCAUUAUCAAUUGAGCUUCUUUUCUCUCAACCUUCCGCCAGCCAUUGGUUUUUCUCCUAGGCUGGAAGUGAUAGUAGAUGAAGUGAGAUGAACCCUAGAUGACAAGUGACCAGCAAUAAAAAGAAAAUGAGGAUCCAAUUUUAUGCUGUUUAAUUUUCUUGGAUCAACCAUUAUUCCUGCAGUGCAUGCAUCUAAUCUGAGAUGAAGCUGGUGAUCAUUAAUAUUAUUUCUUUUCACUACGUCAGAAACGAUUUGUACUGGCAUGUCAAAAUUAGGUCGCCCGCCAGCAUAAAGGUGACGGGGCCGCCAGGCGAGCGCCCGCCAGCAUAGAUGGAAUGCAUCUGUACUGGCGGGUGCAUUAGGUGGCCCGCCAGCACAGAUGCCGCCCACAUAAGACCGCAGACAGCUUCACCCCCAACCAACCUUCCAUUCGGAGCUAACCUAGUGUUUGGUCACCAGCAGUCGGGUAGGGUUUUGUGCAACAGACCAGAGUAUAGUUUGUAUGAUUCCAACUUCCAAGCUUCCGUUCCAAUGUCCUUUGCAACAUAUACAAUUCGGUGUAGACUAGAGUGGUAUAUUUUGUUUAUUUCCACCUAACUCUGCCUAACUUACACAAUCACACAAACACAAUAUAUAUAAUGACACAUAUUGACCAGGGUAACCUAGUGAUCACGUCUAGGAUACUAAGUUAGUGUUACUAAAUCCACCAUGAAAUAUGUCUUUAUAAUAUAUUUAUUUGUAGAUGGCUAGAUGCCAAUAUAUAUUUCUACGGACUUGAUCGAACACUACUGGAAAAUGUGGCAUUAGUCCUGGUUGGAUAGGAUCAUAGAUCCCGAAAAUCCAAUCGGGACCAAAUUUUCGAGAUAAAAGGGGGCUCUUUAGUCCUGAGCCCGGGACUAAAGACCCCUUUAAUCCUGGUUGGGUAAAACCAACCGGGACUAAAAAGGUUAAAGAAAAUAAAAAAAUUGGGCCACCCACGCUGGCCAGCCGCCCGCCCGUGCCCGCCUCCACCGCCGCCACCCAUCUCGGCUCCGCCUCCGCCCACGCCCGCGCUCGCUCGCUCAGCCGCCCUCACCCUGCUGCCGCUCCUCACUACUAGUGAGAGGCGAGCAGAAGGGGGGAAGGGGAGGGGCAGCAGAGGGGGAGGAGGGUUGGCGGCGCAAAGAGGAGAGAGGAGGAGAGGGAGAGAAGAGAGGGAGGGGAGGGGGCAGCGGUGGCGCAGAGAGUAGGAGUGGAGAGUUGAGGAUAAGGAGUGGAGAGGAGUGCUGCACUGGUGGAAGGGUAAGUGUGAGGAGAAAGAUAACAUUGAGAGAGGGGGGGCACGUGGGAAGGGCUCAAAAGAUUUAGUUCCGGUUGGAAUUAUCAACCGGGACAAAAGGGGGAGCUUUUGUCCCGGUUGGAAUUUCCAAUCGGGACAACAAGGGGGCGUCGGUACCAGAUUUUUUUUAGCUGUUACAACCAGGACUAAAGCGGGGCUUUCGUCCCGGUUGAUUUUUAUAACCAGGAGUAAAGCUCCUCCCGUCGGUGCCUCAUUUUUGACCUGGGACUAAAGUGUUUUUAGUCCCGGGUCCAAAGUCAACCGGGACAAAAAUACCUGGAUGGAAGGUCAGUUAUCUAGUAGUGGAAGUUCGAGAAAUUUGACUGAUGAUUACAAAACUAAACUAUAUUUGUGUUUAGGUUGUAUUGCAUCAACUUUUAUAUGGUCGAACAACACGAUGCCAGCGCCAGUCCCUGACAAUCGACUUAUUAGGUUUAAUUCUUUUGCACUCCAUAUCAAUUUCAUAGUUUCGUUAGCUAGUUCCAUUACCUACAUAGUUUCGUUAGGUACCAGUCCAAACUGUGUAAAUUCCACCUCAGCAUGUGGUAGCAGGUUGCUGCGCAUCUACGGGCAGCAGUUUUAUAUGAAAUUAGACCUGAUAAGCAGUUUUAUGUUUGUCACAAUCGUAAGUCGGGGGAAUUGACGUGAGUUGGGGUUCGCUGUAGCGGCACUGAUCUGGAAUUCUGAUAUGCCAUCGAGUUCUUACUUGUUAACAAGGAGAGAUUGGAGCUCACUAACUUGGCACAAUGCAACGUCAACACGAUAGCUUUUGGAACAUGAUUAUCCGAUUUCUGAUGAAAUUGCUACACCAGUUUGAAGUGAAAAAACGCAUGUACAUAACGUAAUAAUUAAUAUAAAGCCAUGAAUUUAUUCUCAUGUAAUAAUUAAUAUAACGUUUCAUACACAUACUCACCACAUCACCCUAAGAACCGAUGCCAGCCUUUGGACUAAGUUCUUGGUUGUUGUAUUUGUAUACCCCUGAAGCGAUGAUCCAUUAUCUUCUCAUGCCCGCGCGCUGCCACACAGCUCACGCCCAUAACCCUGUUAGCCACGCUCACGCUGAAACCUCAUGAUGUUUCCCGCCGACACCGCCGUUGCCUUCGGCUGUACUACUGGGCUUUUCCGGAACAGUCGUCCCACCGAGCACCACGGGCUCUUCGCGGUGGAAACAGCAGCAGCAGAGCCUCCCCAACACGCGAGGCAACCAAGCCAUCUCUCUCUCUCUCUCUCUCUCUCUCUCUCUCUCUCUCUCUCUCUCUCUCUCUCUCUCUCUCUCUCUCUCUCUCUCUCUCUCUCUCUCUCUCUCUCUAAUUUGUGAGAGAGAGAGAGAGAGCAUGGAGAGCUACUUAACAGUGGCUGGAUCGGAUGGCAGGGGAGGCAGCUGCCUAGCUGGCUGUGUAGUUAGUGCAUUGACCUUCACCGGCUAGUAGCUAGUAUUGAGAUAGAACUAUAAAGUUAGCAAGCCUGGUUGCGUGCAUGUGUCCUAGUUCAAAGCUAUUGGCCGAUAGCGUUGGAAUCGCAUUUGAUGAUUUAAACUUCAUGAUCUUUUAUCCACGAUUUUUCUAACAGUAUUUAAGUUUUAUGUUAAAAAUAGCACCACUGUAUUCGUAUUCCAAAGUCAACCUUCUGACCUUCAGCUCCAAAACCGUCUAAUUUCGAUCACAACCUAUCAAGACUUGUUCAACUCACGAAACAAUUCGGUUACAACUGUUAUUUGGCUAACAUGGCGUAGUUUUGGCUCUAGGUUACGUUUUUUUUCCCAAAUUAGACAACGAUGUGCCGCCCUCUCCUUUCUCUAUUUCAUCAAUAGUCCGGCCAGCCCAACAUCCCCAAUCUCCCUCUUCCUUUUUCCUUUCUCCCUCAUCCCUUCAUCCUUCUUCUGUCUGAUAGCUAGUGAGAUACAGAAAAGGAGAGGGUAAUAAAUGGGGCUCCUAUGUAGCUUUCCGUGUGCUAGAUAAGCAACAUGUCUUUAAAGCCUAUUAGACCCAACUUAUAGAUAUGUAAAAAUUCAAAAUUUUGGAAGAUUACAUUCAACAUUUUCUUAGAAAUAGAUCAACAUUUAGAAAUACUACAUUCAAAAUUUUUGGAAAAUGUAUACCAUUUUCAACAUUUUUCACAACCCGUUUCAACAUUUUGAAAAAAUGAAUUCAACAUCUUGAAAGAACAAGUUCAACAUUUUUUCUAAACCUACAUCAAAUUUUUUAAAAAAAACAUGCCCACUGUUUCAUCUUCUCCGGUGACGAUGGGGUCGGCAUCGGUCGUGGCGGGGCCGGCAGCAGCGCAGCAGUGCGGCUGGCAGCAACCGCGGCUGGUGCAUCGGGCCCGGCAGCAGCCGCGGUAGGCGCUGCGGCGGGGCAGCGCUUGCGGCGGAGCUGGCGGGCGCAGCGGUAGAGCGGCAGCAAAUGCAGCGGCGGCGACAUGUGGGAGGUCACGAGGAAGCAAGGGUUGAGGGAGCAUGAGAUGCAUCCAAUGAAUCAUAUUAUACGCACGAAUCUCAAAUAAUGGAAACCAUAGAGCUAAUGGGCUACCGAAGCUAUAUAGGAUUAGCGGUGACAAAUACACACCAUGUCACAGUUGAAUCUGCAUAACAUGGGAGGAUACUAGUAUUAGUGAAAAUCGCGGUUAUGGGCCUCCUGGUGCACUUUGACAUAAGAGAAGCAAGAAGCAAGCAAGUGCACUUGACAAAGCUGCGCGCUGGGUUGGAGGCCCAUCUAAUUGAGGCCCACAUUUUGCUAUGGGUGUGGUUGUUUACCUGGCUAACUCCUAGCCAGGCUCCUGGAGCCAGGCAGCCCAUUUUUGGUUCCCUGGCUAAGCCCAUUAGCCAGGCCCCAGCAAUUGGAUGUGGAUGAUGAUGAACGUUAACAAACCUGCCCGGAGCAGCUUUUCUCUCUUUUAUGUGCUGUGAAUUUUCUAGAGAAAUAUGCAGUGCAUUAAAAAAAUCACUUUCAGGACUUUGCCAUCUCAUAAUUGCAUGGGCAAGCUGAACUUGAGUAAACAUUUAUCUGUGAUCAUCAGCUGAUGCGCUCCAGCUUUAACUGUGUUGAUCGCUGGUGUCAGCGCCACCGUUCCCAUCCCUACUGGCUGCUGGCCUUCAAUUCAGACAAACCUUCCAGGAGCAGAAUUUUUUGUGUGUGAAAUUGUUACCAGGAACAAUAAAAAGAAACUAAAUGGGUCACGACGAUCUUCAUGCUGUUUGGAAGGAACAAGAUUCACCUCGACAGACGCAGAAGUAAUCGUGAACCCAAAUCAAGGAAAACACCAGAGCUCCCGAAUGUGCAUGGGUAAUCAAAUGCAGCAAUGGCUGGUGUGUAUAUAGUGAGAAAACAUGCACAGCGAUUGCGUCAGUUUGGUCUUUGGCGAGAAGCUAUACACUAGUAUCAUAUAAAAAAACACAGGUGGCAACUCAUAUACAAACCAUGAAGCAAGCAUUACCUUUAACAUAAGUUAAUCGAUCACACACUGAAUACAUAGAUAGCAAUGGAUGAAGCACCAGAUCGACAUCAUGGUCAAACGAUAUCUAUGCGAACAAGCAGUGGCGAAAGUCUUGCCAUGUGCCCAAAGUCUCUCUCUCUCUCACACACACACAAUACAUAGUGGCUAAAACGUUUUGCCAUAUCAUAACUGAAAAAAUAGACAUGAUGUAGAACUUGGGUAACAUUUAUUUUUCAGCUGAUGAUGCGCAUUAUAUUAGGCAGCAGCAUGCUCCUGCUUCUUUCUGUUGACGCAAGCGGUCACCUUCCUCCAGUUUGUUCAGCUUGGCUUCGAUACCAGAAGAGGUCUUGAUAAGCCAAGCAACGAUGCAGAGACUAUACACUGUGGUCACUUUUUCCGGAAGGUUUAGUGCCCAGAACCUGCACACAGGAAAUUAAUACUAAGUGCAUGAACAGCGGCCAAACUGAAACCAAAAACACAUGGAUGCAUAGCAAACAUAUAUAGAUGUAGAUAUAGAAACAGCGGCAACUGCUGGGGUAUACAGGGUUGUAAAUCUCCAAAUACUUGCACUCACCUUUCCAACUGUCCCCUCAAGAUUUUAGUCAGGAAGAACAUGGGUUCGUGGCCUCCCACCUGUGUCCUUCCAGUUGCACUCCCAUCAGAAAACAUGCGGCGGUAACCCUGAAUUUUGCAGACAAAUAAGGUAAACUUAACAGCUGGUACGGUAGAACCUACUACAGCAUGUUGCUCUGAAGCUGACAAGCAGCUAGCGAUGCAUCCAUAUUCUCACAGCAAAUUUUUAUUCAAGAAAUAUUUCCACAUCAAGCAGCGUAUAAAAAGAAGCCUAGAUUUAUUGAGCUGAGCUCCUUGCAAUGGUUUGGUUAAAGCAGAUUAAUUGACGCGUUAGGGCAGGGCAGCGAGGACUCCUAUUCAAUUUUUACAGCAACUCCUUCUUUCCCGCCAUCGUCAAAAGGAUGAGGCUAGGUGGUAAUCUAAUCAUGCAUAUAUUGUUCCAUCGCCAAAAGGAUGACUCAGGUUAUUAAUCAUUGUUAAUGCUCCAGGUUGAUGUUGCUAGUUUCAGGGAUUAGUUGAUGUCUGCCAUAUUGCUAAUUAAGGAGGUGUAAGGGAUCGGGCUACUACGAGCUGCAGCGCUGGCGGCGGACGAGGAGGAAGGUCGCCGGAAGUGACGGUAUGGACUCCGCCGCCUGCCUGGACGCCGGCAGCAGGGGUGUGCCUGCAGGGCGACGGAGGAGAAGAGCGGAUCGCCAUGCUCCGUGCUUCACACGGCUCGCCUUCUCUUCUAUCGUCUGUUGCGUUGCGUGGAUUCGUCGGGCGAUCGAUCGAGGGGAUUUGCUGAUCAAUUAGGGCACCACCACCACCGACGGCGGCGGCGCUAUGGACUCUUACACAUGAUAAACACACAAAAAGAACACCGCGACUGUGUCCGCACUCGAUACAACUGCCUCGUCGCGCCCAAUAUAUAUAGCCAUCCAUCAAACCGCAAUCUUCAUCCAUCGAGAAAAUUUUGUGUCAAGACACGAUGUCGCGCAACUACUGUUUCCUUCUAAUCGUCGGUCUUCUUCUAUCGUCGUCCUGCGCCUCCAAGCAGGUGGAGGCGGCGGAGCAAACACCCUGGACCGUCCACGUCCCGAAGCCUGACGGCGCCAUCCAAAGCCUUACCGUCGAGCGCAUCCCGCUGCCCCACGGCAUCACCGGCGCCGAGAGCCUCGCCUUCGACCGUAGAGGCCAGGGGCCCUACGCCGGCGUCUCCGAUGGCCGCGUUCUCCGGUGGGACGGAGACGCCAACGUCUGGACCACGUUCGCGUACAACGCCAACUACAAGAACAACCCUAUCUGCAUGGAGCCCGCACGGCGGCCGGAAGACACGGAGAGCAUAUGCGGCCGCCCGCUCGGUCUGCAGUUCCACGCCAAGACCGGCGAUCUGUACAUCGCCGACGCGUACCUCGGACUGAUGAAGGUCGGGCCGGACGGCGGCGAGGCCGAGGUCCUGGCGGCGGAGGCCGGCGGCGUGCCCUUCAACUUCACCAACGGCGUCGACGUCGACCAAGCCACCGGCGACGUCUACUUCACCGACUCCAGCACCACCUACACGCGCGCGCGCAACACGCAGAUCAUGAUCCACCGCGACACUACGGGGCGGCUGCUCAGGUACGACGCGCGGGCCAAGCGCGUCGCCGUGCUCAAGGCCGGCCUGCCGUACCCCAACGGCGUCGCGCUGAGCGCCGACUGGACGCACGUCGUGGUGGCGCACACGGGGCCGUGCCAGGCGUUUAGGUACUGGAUCAGGGGGCCCAAGGCUGGCCGCUACGAGCUCCUCGCCGACCUGCCGGGCUACGCGGACAACGUCAGGCGAGACACCAAAGGAGGCUACUGGUUCGCGCUCAACAGGGAGAAGAUCAACGCGACGGCUCCGGAGCACCUCGUCGGCGUCCGGGUCAACAGCAAGGGCGCGGAGCAAGAGGUGAUGACGGCGCCCAAGGGUGUCACGCUUAGCGACAUCGCAGAGAAGGACGGUAAGUUAUGGCUGGGAUCAGUGGAACUCGACCAUGCCGGCCUAGUUAAUUUUAAAUAAUUAGUUCUUUAUAGGUUAAGAUUAGAUAAUAAUUAUUAGUGGUUAAGAACUAGUGCUAUAUGCAUUAGGCAAGGUUUGCUUAGGUUUUACAGAAUUUUAGUUGCGAUUUUGAAUUUGAAUGCAGCUACAGCUUGUCUUAUUUUAUCUUGCAUAUUUAAAUUGGAUAUUAUCCCUAGGAAUUGUACGUAUCUUUUAAUUGCGUAUUGAAUUUCCUCUAGUGAAUUACUUCCAAAUGUCAAGGCAUAUAUAUACAUGAGUCACUAAGAUUAAUUAUGGAGAUUGUAAGGGACUGAGAGUCCCUUCUUUUCUGCGUAUCCCUCGUGUCAGCGUGCCUCUUCAUUUUCCGAGCUUGCAUUGGAUUUCUUUUGCUUGGACUCUAAAUUGAACAUAUUGUCGUAUCUAUACACUAUCACAGGAUACCAGGAGCAGACCCAGCGUAGACCCAGUGGCGACACGGACCGCCACUCAGAGUCUAAAUUUUCAAUGGAAUUUGAGCCAUUUUCUUGUAGCUCCAAAGGCCCAUCCGUCGCCACUCAUGUUAUGGGCUAGGUCUGCCCCUGCAGGACUCUAAACCGAACUAAGAAUUUUUAUCUCGCCUCCACAGAGCUUCACAGAGCUUCUCCCUAGCUCAUGACCAAUACUCCCUCCGGGUGCGUUUGGAUGCAGCGGCAAUCCUCACCUGGCCUUGCUUGCACAGAAGUCGGAGCAGCAAAUGUAUUUUGGUUUGCUUGACGUGCUCCCUAGUAUAGGGCUGUGCAAGCAAGUUUUUGCUUCAGCAGCAAGUGAGCCGGAACGGCGCUCCGGCGCCGGCAAGGCAAGCCUUGCCUGGCAAAGCGAGGUCAGGUAAAGCUCUGUCUAAAACCAAAUGUGCCCGCAAUCUCCACCCCUUAGCCUGUCUCCUGAUAAACGGGAAGAACACUCGCGUACUAGCGGAGCCAGGCCUGCACAAGCCACUCGCCCAAGGUACCGUCGCCUCACUUCCCUAAUACCUAGGGGGUGUUUGGGAGCACUCCACUCCAAAUUUUUGAGCUCCACUCCACCAACUCCACCAUAUUGCAGCUCCACUCCACCAACUCAAAAAAAUACCAGAGCUGUCCACAUGUUUGGAAAAAUACACAGAUCCAGCUCCGGAAACAAAAGAUCUUGCUGUGUAAAGUCCAUUAUACCCAUGUGAAUGGGUCCCACUUGUCAGUCUCCUUUAGUUCUCCCUUUCUUCUCCUUUGCUGGUAGGGAAAGGAAGGCCACGAGCAGGCAGGGGCGGGCACGGGGCGCGGCGAGCAGGGGCGGGCGCGCGGCGGGCGCGCCAGGCAGGGGCGGCGCGGUGGAAGGCAGGGGCGGGCGCGGGGUGCGACGGGAGGCUUUUUUUGUUUCGCGAACCGGUAACUUGUGUAACGAGUGGUAAUGGUGGGUAAAUACCCACCAACCCCACGAGGAGGUAUGUAGGUACUCAAAAAAACAUGGAUCUACCCCCGCUCCACCUUUUUUCUGGAACCGAAGUUGCUGGAGCUAGACGUGUUUGGUUGCGAAAUUUUUGAAGUUGGUGGAGUGGAGCAAUUUUUCGUGGAGUGGAGUGCUCCCAAACACCCCCACCCGCCCCGCCGUCCGCACGAAGCGCGACGCCACCACCAUGUCCCGCGCCGCUCGAGUCUCGCCUGGAGGCCGCUACCCCUCAAGAUGCUUCCCGUCAAGGUCAUCUACUUCUGCUCAGGAGGUCAAGACGGUGAGAUAGACGCUAGGGAGUUCGAUUCAUCCGCAUGGAGCUUCGAUUCGCUGGAGCUCAAUGUCAAGACGGCAAGAGAGUAGCGGCGGAGCUUGAUUCGGCCACAUGGAGCCUGAUUCGCUGGAGAGGCGGGCGAGAUUAGCACCUGGUGGCUAAAGAAGACGCCGAGGAUGCGCUUGCCAGCAGUAUGGAGGCGGUGCCGGCGACCAUGAACGUAGCGAGGCUCGCCCCUAAGGCCGGCCGAGGCCCGGCGCGGUGGCGCUCAUCCCCAAGGCCGGCGGAGGCCCUGCGACGGUGCUCACUCGCACGGCUGGCCGGGCCCCGCACGCCGGCACUCACCCCCACGGCUGGAGGAGGCCCCGCUCCGCAGCGCUCGUCCCCAAGGCCGGCCAAGGCUCCGGCGCGGCGGCGCUCGCCCGAACAGCCGGCCCGGCCCCGCACCACGGCGCUCGCUCCCACGGCUGGUCGGGCCCGCGCGGCGGCGCUCCCCCGCCCGGCCAGCAGAGCCCCCGUGGUGGUGCUUGCUCGCCCAGCCAACCGGGCCCGCGCGGCGGCGCACAGCGAGCAGAGGCUCCCGCGACGGUGCGCGCCCGAACGGCUGGCGGAAACCCUGCGCGCGCUCGUCCGUACGGCCGGCGGAGUCCCCAGCGCCGGUGGUCGCCCGCACAGCGUUGCGCGCCCGUGCGGCCGGUGGGGCCACGCUGGUGGAGCUCCCGGCACGGUGGCGUACGGGCGAUGGGAGCCUGCUGGAGGAGGAGCUCGCGGUGCGGUGGCGUACGGCCGGCGAGAGCCUGCUGGAGGAGCUCGCGGCGCGGUGGCGCACGGCCGGUGGAGAAGCUCACCGGUGCGGUACAUGGUCUGAACAAGAUUAGAGAAGAGGAAAUAUCUGGAUGGUAACUUCACCUAUGCUCUACACAAGGUUAUCACAACAAUGUUGUACAGCAACCGAACACAAUCUUGUGCUAACCUUGCUUUCUUUGACCGAGCAACCAAGUACGAGCAAAUUGCAUUGCACUAGAUAGGCUUGAGUUGGCCUGGCUCCAGAUUCUAGCUGGCUAAAACAGACCCUAUAUGGCUAUCGAAUUUAUUUUUCCAUUUCGCUUGCCCAAAUGAUGCCUGCAGCUGCCGGCGCAGCAGGAGCCAGGAGGAGCACCCCCUCGAGCAGAGCACGCGGCCAUGGCCACGCGCCCACGCCUCGUGAGCUCGUGCUCCUUGAGCUCAGCAACAUGAGAGAAACGAGAAGCCCCAAAAUGGCAGAGCCGCGAAACCAGGUGGCGCGCGUCCAACCCCCAGGGAGCACGACGACCCGACAAGCGUAACCGCCGAAACCGCCGCCGCCCGUUCCAGCUCAUGCGCUCCCCGCCACA